Molecule: ribosomal RNA, 499 nt
Filed under: uncultured Glomeromycotina
Lineage: Eukaryota; Fungi; Glomeromycota
Description: partial small subunit ribosomal RNA
Rfam family: Eukaryotic small subunit ribosomal RNA
Source: RNAcentral
CCAAUAGCGUAUAUUAAAGUUGUUGCAGUUAAAAAGCUCGUAGUUGAAUUUCGAGAUCAAUUUGUGGGUCGUGCCUCGGUACGUACUGGCAUUAUUGAUUUCUCCCUUCUGACGAACCGCGAUGUCAUUAAUUUGGUGUCGUGGGGAAUCAGGACUGUUACUUUGAAAAAAUUAGAGUGUUUAAAGCAGGCUUACGCUUGAAUACAUUAGCAUGGAAUAAUGAAAUAGGACGUUUGAUUCUAUUUUGUUGGUUUCUAGGAUCGACGUAAUGAUUAAUAGGGAUAGUUGGGGGCAUUAGUAUUCAAUUGUCAGAGGUGAAAUUCUUGGAUUUAUUGAAGACUAACUACUGCGAAAGCAUUUGCCAAGGAUGUUUUCAUUAAUCAAGAACGAAAGUUAGGGGAUCGAAGACGAUCAGAUACCGUCGUAGUCUUAACCAUAAACUAUGCCGACUAGGGAUCGGAUGAUGUUAAUUUUUUAAUGACUCAUUCGGCGCCUUACG